UUUGAGUUUGAUCCUGGCUCAGAUUGAACGCUGGCGGCAGGCCUAACACAUGCAAGUCGAGCGGAUGAUGGGUGCUUGCACUCUGAUUCAGCGGCGGACGGGUGAGUAAUGCCUAGGAAUCUGCCCGAUAGUGGGGGACAACGUUUCGAAAGGAACGCUAAUACCGCAUACGUCCUACGGGAGAAAGUGGGGGCUCUUCGGACCUCACGCUAUCGGAUGAGCCUAGGUCGGAUUAGCUAGUUGGUGGGGUAAAGGCUCACCAAGGCGACGAUCCGUAACUGGUCUGAGAGGAUGAUCAGUCACACUGGAACUGAGACACGGUCCAGACUCCUACGGGAGGCAGCAGUGGGGAAUAUUGGACAAUGGGCGAAAGCCUGAUCCAGCCAUGCCGCGUGUGUGAAGAAGGUCUUCGGAUUGUAAAGCACUUUAAGUCGGGAGGAAGGGCUGUAAGCGAAUACCUUGCAGUUUUGACGUUACCGACAGAAUA
Molecule: ribosomal RNA, 487 nt
Filed under: Azotobacter chroococcum
Lineage: Bacteria; Pseudomonadati; Pseudomonadota; Gammaproteobacteria; Pseudomonadales; Pseudomonadaceae
Description: bacterial SSU rRNA
Rfam family: Bacterial small subunit ribosomal RNA
Source: RNAcentral